This 253-nucleotide ribosomal RNA is filed under the name uncultured bacterium. RNAcentral's name for it is "partial 16S ribosomal RNA". It matches the Rfam family "Bacterial small subunit ribosomal RNA", at positions 524 to 776 of the family's 1533-position model. The record is from RNAcentral.
UACGUAGGGGGCGAGCGUUGUCCGGAUUUACUGGGCGUAAAAGGCUCGUAGGUGGCUCGUCGAGUCGGACGUGAAAUCUCCCGGCUUAACUGGGAGGGGUCGUUCGAUACUAGCGGGCUCGAGGUCGGUAGAGGGAAGCGGAAUUCCGGGUGUAGUGGUGGAAUACGUAGAUAUCCGGAGGAACACCAGUGGCGAAGGCGGCUUCCUGGACCGAUUCUGACACUGAGGAGCGAAAGCGUGGGGAGCGAUCCGG